UUGGGUGUGUCGGGCCUUGGCUGGAAGCCUCGGGACCCAGCUGGGACUGCUUGUGGGCAACCUAUUUGUGGACUUGGCCAGGACCUGGCGGUGGAUGGCCUUGGCAGCUCUCACGGGCGUCCGAUGCACAAUUAACAACUAAUUUAGAACUGGUACGG
RNAcentral lists this ribosomal RNA (158 nucleotides) under Amanita citrina. RNAcentral's name for it is "partial 25S large subunit ribosomal RNA". Lineage: Eukaryota; Fungi; Basidiomycota; Agaricomycetes; Agaricales; Amanitaceae. The record is from RNAcentral.